Molecule: long non-coding RNA, 772 nt
Filed under: Homo sapiens (human)
Lineage: Eukaryota; Metazoa; Chordata; Mammalia; Primates; Hominidae
Description: HSALNT0358438
Source: RNAcentral
AGAAGUUUUAGGCGAAUCCCAGGCGCGCCAAGGAAAGUGCUACAAAAGCCAUCCAUCUUGCAAGCGUUGGUGCCGAGGCGCAACGCUGAGAACGCAAAUACUAAAGGGCGCUGUUCUUUCCUCGUGGAGCUCACAGUCCGCUGGGGAGACCGUGAGAUGACAGCAGAGAAACUAGCGCGAUCAGUAGUACUCAGCGCAAGGACAGCGAGCAGAGAAGGCAAACCUAGUGCUUGCUAAGGAAGACUUCACAGAGGAGUCACACCUUAAAAAAAAAAGGAGGGGUUAUUCCUGCUUUUGCCGUGCUGUGAUCCAGGGCAGAGCUCCAGGCUUCAUACGGUAAAACUCUCUGGGAAGGAAAGGAACUCAGAGUCCCAUGCAGAAAAUUGUUCAGCUGGAGGGGUAUCAGAAAGAUGGAUUUCCAAAGCCAACUGUUUCCUGUAGUGUGUGGAUCUCUGCAAGCAGAGCCUCAUCUUUCAAUUUCAGCUACAUGAAAGAGGAAGAAAGGGAAAGAUAUAUGUCAUACGUGAUAUACUUUAUGUGGCUUUGAAGACCCCUCUUUUGUGGGGCUACGGCUAAAGAACAUAGUUCCCUGGGAUGGAAUUGGCUCUUCCUAUUUCCCUACUUCAUGAAAACUCCAGUAGAAGACCUUAGAACCUUGUCCUGGUUACAUGGAUAUGUUUACUUUGUGAAAAUUCAUCAAGCACUAUGCACGGUCAUGAUUUGUACAUUUUUUUGUAAGAUAACUUCAUUAAAAUUUACUUUUUUUAUUUUU